Molecule: long non-coding RNA, 1073 nt
Filed under: Sorghum bicolor (sorghum)
Lineage: Eukaryota; Viridiplantae; Streptophyta; Magnoliopsida; Poales; Poaceae
Description: long non-coding RNA (SBIC_LNC007850)
Source: RNAcentral
UGCUCCUAGCUCAUAACAAUAUGGUACACUUUAAUUAACUUAUUUUAUGCCUUUCGGUUUACUUGUACCCUAUCUAUUUUUCAUUUUAUGAUAUAGUGUCUUCCGAUAGCAGUCAUAUAUUGAUACUCAUGUGCAUUAUCAAGAUCUGAGUUUCCAAAGUAAAAUAAAUAGCAACAUGUCCAUAGUAGUUUUCUAGAUUAAACUAGCCAUUAUAUAUUUAAUUUGUUGUCUUUUUUUUUUGUUAGGAAUGUGUCCAGAUUACUUUCACAAUAUAUCUGAUGUCCUGCCCCACAUUUUCAAACUUGUAGACCCUUGUACUCAACUAUUACUGGUGUGGAUCUCUAGAUUCACUACUACAGAACAGGCCUUUGGUCACUUGCCCAAAAUGAACAAUAAUCUCGGCCAAAACAGAGUCCGGGACAAAAACAUAUUUAGUCCCCUGCCCAACGGCUAUUAUGUCAGACAUCGGCAGAGGGGACUUUUAGUCCCGGUUGGUCUCACCAACCGGGACAAAAGCCUAGCCUUUAGUCCCGGUCCGUCCCACCGGUCGGGACUAGCGUUGGAAUUUAGUCUCGGUUUUUAAAAGGAAUCGGGACUAAAUGUCCCUCCCCAUAUUUGAACUCUUCUUCCCGUGGCCGAGCCCAUCGAUCUUCACUCUUUUGCUGUGUUCUUCAUUUGGAGUUGCUUGUUCUAGCUUGCUCUCAUCUCCGGCUAUUGAUUCAUUUCAUCGUUUCUACAUCAUCAUCGACUUGUUAAGAGGUCACUAGCUUCAUCUUCUCAACAUUUAGAAGCGGCGUAUGUCAUUUCCUAGUGUUAUGUAUAUUAUUUUUUAUUUUAUGGUUUUUUUAAGAGGUUAUUAGCUUCAUCGCCAUUUCAAAAGCGACGCGUUUUUUAUAGAAAUAGUGGUAAUAUGUUUUUUAUUUUAAUUAGUUUAGAAAAAAAUAAAACAUAUAAUACUUUAAUUUGCAAUUUUUGACCGAUUUAGUUAGUUAAUUAUAACUAGUAUACAUACCACAUUUCAUGAUUAUUUAAGAAAAAAGAGAAUUUUUGUGCUUUUUUAAUUUAGCUUGUUU